This 72-nucleotide transfer RNA is filed under the name Rhinella cf. acrolopha 'sensu Grant & Bolivar 2014'. RNAcentral describes it as "tRNA-Thr". It matches the Rfam family "tRNA". From Rfam's summary of the family: Transfer RNA (tRNA) molecules are approximately 80 nucleotides in length. The record is from RNAcentral. Lineage: Eukaryota; Metazoa; Chordata; Amphibia; Anura; Bufonidae.
GCCUCAGUAGCUUAACCCUUAAAGCGUUGGUCUUGUAAACCAGAGAAUGAAGAUUAAACUCUUCCCGAAGCU